GACAGAGAGUGCAAACGUUGCUCAGAAUCACUGGGCGUAAAGGGCGUGUAGGCGGGAAGGAAAGUCAGAUGUGAAAGCCCUAGGCUCAACCCAGGAACUGCAUUUAAAACUCCCUUUCUUGAGUGUCGGAGAGGAAAGCGGAAUUCCUGGUGUAGAGGUGAAAUUCGUAGAUAUCAGGAAGAACACCGAUGGCGAAGGCGGCUUUCUGGACGACAACUGACGCUGAGACGCGAAAGCGUGAAGAGCAAACAGG
This 253-nucleotide ribosomal RNA is filed under the name uncultured bacterium. RNAcentral's name for it is "partial 16S ribosomal RNA". It matches the Rfam family "Bacterial small subunit ribosomal RNA", at positions 524 to 776 of the family's 1533-position model. The record is from RNAcentral.